GAUUAAGUGUCGUAAGGGCAUUUGGUGGAUGCCUUGGCAUGCACAGGCGAUGAAGGACGUGAUACGCUGCGAAAAGCCGUGGGGAGCUGCGAAUAAGCUUUGAUCCAUGGAUCUCCGAAUGGGGAAACCCACCUUAAGAUACUUGGGAAAUCAUUCUGGUUGUCGGACCUUUGGUCCGACGUUACGGCGAACGAUCGCCGACGGCCUCUGGCCUGUAUGGGUGGCAUGCUCAAGCUUGAGUGUGGCAUCAAUACAGACCGAUAGGUCGUCGCCAAUUGUUUGGCGCGCCGUCCGCAGCGCAGCGACCGCAGGUCGCGACAGCGUGAGGACAAAAGAACCCGGCACGUCCGGGCGAGGCGGUGCAACCCGAAUGGUUUCCAAGUAUCGUUAAUAAGGUAUCUACACCUGAAUACAUAGGGUGUAAGAAGCGAACGCAGGGAACUGAAACAUCUAAGUACCUGCAGGAAAGGACAUCAACCGAGACUCCGCA
Molecule: ribosomal RNA, 490 nt
Filed under: Rhizobium sp. S152
Lineage: Bacteria; Pseudomonadati; Pseudomonadota; Alphaproteobacteria; Hyphomicrobiales; Rhizobiaceae
Description: partial 23S ribosomal RNA
Rfam family: Bacterial large subunit ribosomal RNA
Source: RNAcentral